RNAcentral lists this unclassified non-coding RNA (583 nucleotides) under Hevea brasiliensis (rubber tree). The record is from RNAcentral. Lineage: Eukaryota; Viridiplantae; Streptophyta; Magnoliopsida; Malpighiales; Euphorbiaceae.
GCCUUUACACAGCACUUGUUCGCUAGGGUUUCGGUGCAGAUUUUUGAUUUUCGCUUCAUCUGAAUCGUUUUCUGCAAACUUGCGAAGCUAUGUACGGAUCAAGGGGGUAAGUUUAUCUUACUUGAUUCAUUCUUCUCCUAUCUGUUCAUGUGGGUGUUCUUUCUUUUUCUAUGUCGAUGUUUGUUUUCAAAUUUUGUUUGUAGCAGUUGACGAAUUUAUAUGAUGCUUUCUGUUUGUGCCUUGUAGUAAUUAAUUAUUGAUUCUUUUUCUAGGUUGAUUUUGCCUUUAGAUUGUAAAAUUAACACUUUCUUUUGCUAUAUAUGGGAGGGUGAAUUCGAUAGCAUGGGGUUUCUGAGCUGCUCUAGCAUGCUUGUUACUUCAAGAUUAUCCUUUGAUUGUUUCAACACCAUAACUGAAGGAUAAAUUACAGUUACAUGUAUCUAUAACAAUUAUCCUAUAUAUUAACGGUUCAUUAUAACCCCCAAGUUUUUUUUUCUUUUGGUGUUUUAUGAUCUUUAUAACAACAUUAUGAUAUAGCAUCCAAGUAAUAUCCGUUAUAGAGAAGUUUGCCUCUACACCUUUU